RNAcentral lists this unclassified non-coding RNA (481 nucleotides) under Hevea brasiliensis (rubber tree). The record is from RNAcentral. Lineage: Eukaryota; Viridiplantae; Streptophyta; Magnoliopsida; Malpighiales; Euphorbiaceae.
UUAAUACGCUAUAUUUUUACUUAAUACUGGUUUGCAAGGCUUUUCAUUUUAUCAUUGUGUAAAAGUAAAAUAUGUUACUUUAGCGUUUUUGGUAUACUAGGAUAUUUAACUAGCUGAACUUAGAACUGAACACUUGAGAUGGUAAUAUAAAUAAAUGAGGUUGUGUACACAGAUUGGUGUAGAAGAAGGUGGAGGAAUUGAGAGUUUAAACUAGCAAGACAUCUGAUACUUGGGUCAUGUCAUCAUUUCGUUUUUUGCUCUUUUGUACUGGAUGUAUAGAAUAUGAUCACAAGGUGUGAAGAAUAAUGAGAACAUGUGUAUCCUAUAUAUUGUUGAUAAUGAGUUAAUGAUACAAAAGAAACAGCAGCGAGUUUUUUCUAUUAACUGUAAAGACAGGUGAAAGAGCUGUUGGUAAUGGAAACAAAAAUACACAUGCAAGUACAGCAGGGAACCAUAAGGCUAACAAAAAGUUUUAUGUAAG